AUUCAUACAUCCCCUAUCUAGCAUUUGUAUAUAUGCACAAAAACAUGAAGUAGUGUUUACUUCAUAUUAAUGAUUGGUUUUCCCGGAUGAUGGGGUUUAGACUCAUAUUGUCUUUCGCCAUUUUGGUACUUUUCUUCACUGCUUAAAUGCUUUAUAAUGUACUUUUUUUCUUUCUGCCAAAACAAUUUAGUGAGGGUGUUUUUUUAAACAAAGAUGUUUUCCUCAUAUUAUUAAAGAGGAUUUUUCUCAGAGAAAUAUUAAAAAGUAAAUUAGUUGAUAUUUAAAUGACUACCUUAGUUGAUGUGCUUUCCACCAAAAGCCUGAACCAUAAGAUGUGUGUACGGUGUAGCAGGCAUAACAACUGCAUCCCGUCUCCCAGCACUAGGAUAGCAAGUCCCCGUCGCCCCACCAAGCAAUUCAAUGGCCACAUGGCUUGAAGAAACAAUUCUCAGAUCCGAAGGUGCUCUUCCCUGAAAAAUUAGGCAUGAAGAGAAGGGAAAUUUAAUGACAUCCAUUAAAAUAACUCAAUGCCCCACAGAUAAAAUGUCAAUCUGGCAAUAAUUCCUCUUCUGGUUGCGGCUCAGCUUCCUUAUGGUGCUCUCACACCCAUAAAACACCAAGCCCAGAUGAAGGCUGCACUGGCUGCUGUUUGACUUGGCAGAUUUAGAGGCAGAGACCACAGUUGCUGGGGUAGCAGCAGACAGAAUUGGCUGGUCAUAGCUGAGUCAAAAGCUAAAGAUCUUGUCUGUAUCCUAGUGAUACAAUUAGACAAGAAUAAUGAAGGAAGGAAGAAAAGUCCCAGGAGAAAAGAGGCUGUAGUUUUGUACAUUCUCCUCAUAAAAUCACAUUUAUUGAUCAUGCAAAGUAGCAAGGGAGAUUCUUAGGCCAUUUCAUGGCAAACUAGGAGACAGAAGAAAGACUGCAGAUCUUAUCAGACUUACAGAGGCAGGUUUCUCCUGAGACAGCUUUACUUUCCAUUGUGGAAAUAUAUCGGCUAAAGGAGUCACUCAUUGGUACCUUAGCAAGAUGAAAGGUCUCAGGUCCAUCACCUACAGUUCUGCUUGGCAAAGCAGAGUUCCCUUUGCUGCCCUCUGUUACGGAUUGAAUUAUGUCCCCUCAAAAAGAUGUGUCAAAGACCUAAGCCCCAGUGCCUGUGAAUGUGACUUCUUUGCAGUUGUCAUAAAGUUAAGAAUAGAACCAUUAAAAUGGGCCUUAAUGUAACAUGACCAAUGUCCUUCUAAGAAGAACAUGUGGACACACACAUAUACACACGCAGGAGAAUACCGUGUGAAGACACAGGUACACAGGGAAGAUAGCAUGUGGGGUCCAGGUGGAGAUUGAAGUGAACAAUCUGUGGCUACUGGAAGAUGAAAAGGCAAGAAAAGAUCCUCUCCUGGAGGCUUCAGAGGAAGCAUGGCCCUGACAACACCUCAACUUUGGACUUCUGGCCUCCAGAACUUUGAGUUGAUAAUUAUUGUUGUUGCUGUUGUCAUGGCAGCACAGUUAUGGGAGCACAUUUUUGAACACAGGCUCCCACCUUCAACUUAUCACUUCCUUACCUUUGCUGGGGUACCUGAUGACUUUAAAGAGACUGUUUCUUUGGAGAAGGUGGAAUACGCUUAAAGGUGAGAGUCAAGUUUUGGCAUUCACACCAGGUAGUAGGCUUUCUCCUAGUUCCAAUCAUGUAGGCUUAUACUUACUAGGGUUUUUGUUGUUGUUGUUGACGUGGCACUAUUGUCUAACAAACCUCAGCUUAUCCUUGAGGACAACCUUAUUGGACUUUUUCCUUUUAUUCAAAGCAAGUUGUGCCGGUGACUGCCAGUGUUCACAGAAUCCUUGUCCUCAUUUUCUUCUAGAGCACACAUUUAGACAACAUCUCCCAGCCUCCCUUGCAGUUAAGUCUGGCUUUGUGAUGAGGUUCUAGAUAGCACAGUUGGAACAGAAGUGAUGUGUGCCACUUCCAUGUCUCAGCCCUGGUCUCCAAAACUUCCCACAGGUGCUAGUCAUACUCUUUACCCUUCUCGCAGAUUGGAAUGGAUACAACCAAACCACCAUAAAAGCCUUAUGUGGAACAUGGCAGACCUCUCUCAAUCAAAAUCCCGAUACGACCACAGGGAAUGACCGCCCUCAUGGGCCAGCUUUGGACUGUCAUGUGAAUGACAAGUAAAGUCUUACUGUGAUUAAGCAUUGUACAGUUUGGAGUCUGCUGGAUAGAGUAUCCAGCAACACCCUAGCCAAUGCAGUAUUUGAUGCCUUAAACUUCACAUGCCUUUAUAUCGUUACACAUUUUACUUCCUAUCUUUUAUAACUGAUUCAGUGUGUUGUACAUGUGUGGAUGGAUAUUCAAUUAAUAUGUGACACAUUGAUUAUCAGCUCAAAUGUGGCAGAUGGAGAUGGAUCCUUCUUGACCUCUCAUUGAUUCUUUUUAGUCAAUUGAAAUUGCAUUAUCCCUGAAUAUUCUUCUUUUCAUAAAUUUGCUAUGUAUUUGAAAUGUCAAAUCUUAAAUCUUCUUUGGCUCACCUUAAUGCUUUCUUUUCAUGUGAACAACAGCUAUGUUCCAAGAGUCAAGAAAUCUCAAUAUGAAUAAAGCCAGGGCAUGGACUCCCCAUGUUUGUCUUGUCCCCUGUCUAUUUUACUUGUUCAGGUUCCUUUUAUCUAGCAGAGGUAGGGAUAUCCAUACCACAGUGAAGCUUCUCAUACUCCAAGUUUCUAGAAAUGAUUGAAAGUUUUUUUUAAAAUCCAAAACAAGAUGGAAAACAAGAAAGCAUCCACUGGCUCUAAAAACUAUGAGAAAUCCUUGAAAGGUAUUAAGGCAGACAUCAAUUGUGUUGAAAUAGAAAACUAAAAAUUUAUGAAAUUGUGGGAAAAGCACAAAAUCACACCUUAAUUAGAGGCGGUGGCAGGAGGGGCCCUGAAAACCUGGGAAGGGACACCAGAAGGGGCUUCCAGCUGCUCCUGCCCAUGCUCCACAGCCUGCCAGCUGCAUACCUUGUUGGGCCAGGUUGUUGUAAGGGGGCUAUCUGGAUGGUGUGAGAGCUUGGGUCUGAAAGCAGGGAAGUGCCUCAGAUGGUUAGAGGGCCCCAGGCUGGAAGGGAUUACGGCACAUCGCCAAGAUGGCACGGCUCACAGCAGAUCGAGGCUUCUCCUGCUCUUGUGGAAACAACCAAGGACCCAGAAGCCCUCCUUCCCUUUCCCAGGAAGCCUACAAAUGAAGGCAACAGGGCUUCUCAUACAGAUGAGAGCCAAAUUCUAACGUGGUGGGCAGACUGAGAACUAACAACCCUGAGAACUGAGGGGAGGACGCCCACCCAGUGAAACACAGAUAACUGAACAACCAGAUGGCAGCCAUGAGAAGUCCACAUGCUGGACCUUCAGAGACGCUGAAGGCGGAUCUCGUGUGAAUAAGAAGUGUGAGAAUUAAAAACUUGCUCACGCAAAUUAAAAGUGCAACAGAUCAGCUAAAUAACAUAAUGGACACAAUUGAAGAAAAAAUUAGCCGACCAGAAGAUUCGGGUGAGGAAUUCUUCCAGAAGGUGACCUGAGAGGAUAAAGACAAAGUAAGAAAGAAAUAUUAAGAAGCAUCAUGAACAGAUUCACAGAUUCUAACAUUCAUCUCCUGUGCCGCUCAGAAGAGGGAAUAGAGGGUACAGAGAAUAAGCGGGAUGAAGAGAAGUAAUAGGGAAGGCUCUAGAGGGGAGGAGAAGGCAGAAAUUUCGAAGGGCUCUCAGAAUUUAUCAGAAAGUACUUUUUAAAAAAUGAUCAAGUAGGCAUAUGUAAUUGAAUUUCAGAAAACCAAGUAUAAAAUAUAAAUCUUUUCAACUUCUAGAAAAAAAGACAAAGCACAAUAAUGUAAAUGCACCAAAUGAACAUUAGAAUUCAGAAACGUAGCAACAUAUAUAAGAAGACAAUAAAAACAUUUUGAAAUCUCUGAGAGAAAUAAGUUGGAUUAGAAUUCCAUACUCAAAAUGUAAUUUCAGUAUUAGGGUUGAAUAUUAAAGUUUUCUGAUCUCCAAGGGCUCAAAGUUCCCAAUCAUUGAUAUCAUACAGGCCAUGUUUACAGAGCAUAAUAAAUUUCAGAGAAAUAAUAUUGCACCAAAGUGCAAUAACACCAGAAAUUAAAAGCAAACAAUAUGUAUGUGUGUGUGUGUAUGUGUGUGUGCAUAUAUAUAUGAAUGACAAUAGCUUUUUGAAACUGUGAGAUGAACCUGGAGUUUAAAGGAAAAAUUUAUAGUUGUGAAUGCAUUCAUAAAGAAAUUAAUGAGUAUGCAAAGUAUGAAAUAGAUUUUCAAGCUAAGGAAUUGAAAAAGAGCAAUAAAACAAUCACUAAGAAUGUGAACAGUAGGAAUUAAUGAAAACAGAAACAGAUAUUAACAAAAUGAAUAAACGUAAAAGGGUACCUUUUUUCAUCAAUACAGAAAAGCUGUUUUUGAGACUAAUAAAACAGACAAAACUUAGUUACACAAGGUGAAGGGGAAAGAGAGAGAAGUAGGAAGGUCCCAUAGCUUUAAAUUGAAUAUGAUAUUGACUGUUUUGUUUUAUAUUAGAUUGGUCUUGCCUUUAAAACACCAUUUUAAAAGAGACCAUUUGUUAGUGCCUGAAAUCUGUAACUGGCUUAAAAGCUCUGUCAGCUGGAAAGGAACCUGUCAGUGUGAUAAUGGAAAAGAAGAAGAUACAUCAGAGAGAGCAGGAUUUGCAAGUUAGAAAGCAUCAUUUUCGACUGGCCCUUCUCUGUUCUCCCACCAGCUCUUCUGAGGAUUAAAGGAGGUAACUUAAGAAGAAGAGUUAAUGAGAAAAUGUCCAGUCUGAAGGAAAAAAGUUGUGAUCACAUGGUCAUAGAAGAGACAUUUUUAGAUCAUCAGAAGUUGACAGUUUUCACUGUAGUGUAUGUGCUUAGUAUAAGAUGGAAUUAAGUUUGUUGUAUGGGUGAUUGAUGAAUUUUUACUGAAUCAUGGAUAACUGCUGUUCUAUUAAUGACAUUUCAUCAAUCAACUGUUUGGAUAUGGUUUAUCACAAAAUGUUGCUGACUUCAUGUUUGUGGAUUAACUGAGGUGAAAGUGAUACCUGGUAGAAGUUUCAUUAAUACAAAUUUUCCUCUCUUAGGAGUAGGAUGGAUUAUAUUAUUUGUUGAAAUGCCUUUGCAUGUAAGUUCUUAACUGUCAGUUUUCUUGUCCUGUGAAUCAUAUCUUUUCUGUAUUUGCUGAAAUAGAGACUUAACAUUGUUAAAUGAUUUGUCCAUGUCAUGGAAAAUGUAUGCCUCUAAAUCUGCGUUCCUUCCUACAAAUUACAAGUUCAAAAUGACUUUUUUUAAGAAACCAAAAAAAGAUGGAUUUCUGGUAUUUUGUGGCAGGAUAAGCUCCCUGUAGCCUAUCUUACAUGUUGAUUACAACUAAAACUAUGAAAAGUACAAUAAGCAACUAACUGAGGAAUCUGAAAAGUAAAUAAAAGUAGAAUUAUGAGUGAUAGGCAAAAUCUGGAGAAGCACCCUGCAGUAGUGUGAGCUUCCAUUGUUGUAUUUCUUUCAAUCAAAACCAAAACAAACAAACAAAACAAACAAAAACCAGAAAAGAACACCACCAACA
RNAcentral lists this long non-coding RNA (5579 nucleotides) under Homo sapiens (human). Its description in RNAcentral is "HSALNT0084077". The record is from RNAcentral. Lineage: Eukaryota; Metazoa; Chordata; Mammalia; Primates; Hominidae.